This 460-nucleotide ribosomal RNA is filed under the name uncultured bacterium. Its description in RNAcentral is "partial 16S ribosomal RNA". It matches the Rfam family "Bacterial small subunit ribosomal RNA", at positions 338 to 795 of the family's 1533-position model. The record is from RNAcentral.
CCUACGGGAGGCAGCAGUGAGGAAUAUUGGUCAAUGGACGCAAGUCUGAACCAGCCAUGCAGCGUGAAGGAUGACUGCCCUAUGGGUUGUAAACUUCUUUUAUACGGGGAUAAACCCGGGUACGCAUAUCUUUCUGUAAGUAUCGUAUGAAUAAGGAUCGGCUAACUCCGUGCCAGCAGCCGCGGUAAUACGGAGGAUCCAAGCGUUAUCCGGAUUUAUUGGGUUUAAAGGGUGCGUAGGCGGAUGGUUAAGUUAGUGGUGAAAGUUUGCGGCUCAACUGUGGAAUUGCAGUUGAUACUGGUAGUCUAGAGAGCAGUAGCGGUAGGCGGAAUGUAUGGUGUAGCGGUGAAAUGCUUAGAGAUCAUACAGAACACCGAUUGCGAAGGCAGCUUACUAAGCUACUACUGACGCUGAGGCACGAAAGUGUGGGGAGCAAACAGGAUUAGAUACCCUGGUAGUC